UAAUGUAUGCGCUGGCCACUGUCCUAUCCGAUUUCCGUAUUUAAUUAAAAUCUGAACAAAAACACGAGUCCCCUUAUUAGCCGGUAACAAAGCUGACUUUCGUGCCAUCUUUGAAACCACAUAGCAAAGAGAAACGAGUCGCGUGCGUAUAUGUGAUCGUAUGAUCGUGUGAUCCGGCACCUUAUAUCGAAGUGAGCAUAAUGAAUUUUAGAUAGAUCAAAUAACGUGUCUGCACUCCAAUCAUGGACAUUCGUUCGAAUAGUAAAAUAUCAUAUCUCGUUGAAAUAUACGCGACUGAUCGUGCUCGAUUAUUUACACGCAAGCAUAAUACUCGUAUUAAUAACCUCAAAUAUCAGAACUGCGCGUAGUACCUUUGUUAACUUUCGCGUUAAUUAUUCGUGGGACAACGAACACGACUCAUGCUCAUGUAUUUCUGAAUUAACGUGCUUGUAAAUUUUCUACUGGCUGUAUAAAUCUUAUCAACAAAUUGCAAUUAUGAAGCUUGCACGAAAUUAUCCGAUGAUCAUACAUACCUAUUUUUCCCGCCUUUUUUGACAGCACACCAAUUACGUGAAUAUUUGACUGAUCAUACGUUGAUCGUUGACAAAGUUAUAUUUGUUACUGCGAUUAAUAACAUUUCACGGUAUCAUUUAUCAAGAGCUUGACAAAAAAAAUGAAUUAUGUUAAAAAAUAUAUCUAUGUACUUCGUAUACAUUGGAUUACUGAUGAGAAUAAAGCGGUAAAGUGGUCGGCGGUUGACCGCUGCGCGACCAAACUUUACCCAUUCGUUGCACGACAAGUUAUCCACCUUUCGAAGCGGCGCGAGUUUUCCGUGGCGAGCAGGAACAGCGCUUCUCUCAGUCUGGUCGGGAUCCCGGGGAAUGAUUCAUGCAAAUAACAUUUGUGAUAGCCGAACGUAAUUUUUGUGGGAAUGCCGCGCCUCGAGUCUAGCAGUCUGGCCAACCGAGGAUGUAGCCAAUUGCCGCGAAAGAUUCGAUGUGAUGUCAGCCUUUCUAAAUGGCCCACGAACUCGGCCUGCUUCAGCAACUGGCGAAUGUGACCCUGGAUUCGCGCAAUUACAUCUCUUAUAUCUCCUACAUUUAAUCUUUUCUAACGAUAUAUAUUAUACGAUAUUAUAUUAUAACGAAAAUUCAUUCUAUAUGUAUCAACAACUCUUAAAUUGUUAUUUGCAGAUCUUCUCAUCCAAGAGAAAAGAAAUCUUGUGAAAAUGAAAGGAACAAAUUAUUAAUCUCUCGUUAUCGAUCGGCUCGAUAAAUAUAUUCCUUCGUUAAUCGAGGAAAGGGAAUCAACGAAGUGAGAAUGAGCAAGUGUAGCGAUCGAGGAAACGAGAAUAUCGAGGAGAUGCGAGCGUAAAAAGUAAAAGGAUCCGUACCUCCUUCUCGAGACCUUGGAUGUCAUUGACCGCGAGGCCGAUCAUCAAGUUCAUCAGGACUAUACUAGCGAGCAUGACGAAAGCAAGGAACACGACCCUGCUCGUGGCUGUUAGGAAGGAACUCCCAUUCUUCUCGUCCGAGAACAGAUCCCCGUACUCGUACUCACCCAUCAUCAUUACCACGGUCUUCACGACGGCCCUCCAGGAAUUGCGAAACUGGUCGUUCCCGUGGAACAAAACGGCGAAGCUGAACGCGAAUCCGACAAUCAGGCAGACGAACGCUAGGAGAACCUGAAAGGAAAUAAAAAGCCCCAGAUGCACGUUGUUAUAAUCGCGGGAGAGGGUGGUAGGGCUGCGCGAAGUGGUAGGGGUAGGCAAGUGGGUCCUGAUGGGAGCCGUAUCACCGACCAGACAUUUAGAACCUUGCUUCUUCCUCUCCCUCCCCUCCCUUUCUCUUUAGCUUUUCAUUUCUAACGAUAUUCACCGAAGGGAAGAGCUCGUCGCUCUCUUAUACCUCUCGUUUCGGCUAAAUGCGGAUCUUUUUCCGUCAUACAGACGGAAUUAAAAAAAAAAAAAAAGAGAGAGAAGAAGAAGAAAAAGAAAAAAGCCUCCCUCGACAUUAAAUCAGGGUUAACGUUACCCUCUCCCUCCCCUGUUGAAAAAAAAACGGUGUUCUUACGGUGUCGAAUGUGGCUGCUUUUUAUUCGCGCCCGUUUAACCGCGCCCGACUCGACGCGCUUUAACGAGGGAAAUUGGGAGGUUCUUCCCCCUCCCAAACGGGGGAUUCCUCGUUACUUUUUUCCUUUGUUGCCCCUCCAUUCGAUCCGUGGUUGGGAUGGGACGGGGAGGAAGAGGGAUUAUUAUUAUUACUCGCAUCGCGAGCGGCAAAUCAUCGUGCUUGAUUACUCACUGACCUUCAGAAUAUUCUUCAGCACCGUGGAGAACAUGAGCGCAUAAUUCCCGCACAUUGGGAGGCGACCGAUUAACAACAUCAUUUGCAUCCAGGCAACAAGGAUCGCCAGGCUGAUGGUGUGCAAGAUCCACUGCGGGGGGUGACGGGCGUUCAAUCCUUCUUCCCCUGACGAGGUCGUGAUUCCAUGAUCUUCGUUCAUUGAAAUGGUGAACGAUAUGACGGAGCAUGCGAACGACAACCACGUCUCUAAUUGUCUCAAAUAAUAUCUAUAACGUGUGUUUCAUUUUCAAAUAUCAUUAAGGCUCCAUCAACACCUGAAUCGUGUAAUGAAGGAAGAUGAUCGUCGAACAGGAAGCGAGGAUCCUUCGUAACGGGGUGCAAUCAGUCUGGUGGUACUGUAUCGUUAUGGAGUAACCAGACAGGGAAAGGACCAGCAGGGCGUGGAUAAAGACGAGAGUAAAGAAGAACACUCUCAGCUUGGACCACUUCAGCCAGAGGAACGUUUCCACCAGCGGAUGUUGCAGUAUCGUCAAUUGUUCCACGCUCGAGGCUGCUGCAAUAAGGGACGUAACUACUCCCAUUUGCAGCUCCCCUUUCGGCGCUAGCACGUUGAAGUCAACGACGAUCUUUGAACAGAUUGCAGUGAAAGAGGACGGAAAACAUUGUUUGGGACAUGUUUGGAAAGAGUAAACCGCACCGGUUGGAGAGUUACCUGAGAAUUUCUGUUGCAAUUCAUUUUAACGCAAGAAUCGAGAAUAUCGUUGAGGAACAGGACAGGUGUCGGUAUGUGGGCGAAUAUCGCGUCGAUGACGCUAACUCCAGUCCUGGUUUUCGCGGCUAAAUUUCCACCAUGAUCGAUCAAUAUCUCAACGCAUUUGGAAUUUCCUUGGUAAGAUGCUCUGUGUAAUGGCGUUCGAUCAAUCUGUAUGGAAAUGCAAGGAACGAAGAACGAGGAAGAAGAGGAAGAACAAUUAUAUAUUGAAAGAAUCGUUGGAAAUGUUAAUAUGAAAAGGGAGGGAAAAAUAUAUAUACGUUAUCUCGAAUAUCGAUUUGAUGAGAAGAUAUGCUCUCUAGAAGGAUCGAAAGUAUCUCUGGGUUACCCGCGUUGGCAGCUAGAUGAAGAGGAGUACUUCCUGUGCUUUUGCAUUGAUAAAGAGGACAUGCACCACCGUUCAGUAACCUUCUCGUUGCCAAGAGACUUCCUAGCAAGACUGCAGAAUGUAAUGCAGUAGUAUCUGUACUUUCAGGAAAAGAAAAAAAAGGAAAAGAUUCUCAUUAAUUCGUUCGUAAUUAUUUCAAUGUUUCAUAUAUAAUACCUGUAUCAGGAUGAACGACGUUAAUAGACACUUUUGCGGAUACAAGGAUCUCGAUGAUGCAGUUAUAUUUGGAAAUCUCGAUCGAGUCUUCUUUCUCAACUUUGGACCCUGCCAAAAGUAACGGCGUGAUGCCACGAUCGUCUCUAACGUUCACGUCGGCCCCAGCGUCUACCAACAUCUUCACCACCUCGGGAUGAUUGUUCUUCACCGCUUGGUGCAUCGCCGUUCUUCCCCAACACUCUGGCGUAGGCAGCUAAAAAAACAGCAAUUCGAUUCUCGCUUCAGGCGGCAAUAAAUUCAUUAGGAUAUCGCGUUCACGAACUAACGUUUCGACCAAUGUUGAGCGAACUCGAACCAGGGAUUUUCUUGUAACAAGCCUCUAUCCCGACCCUGUUUUCCGUGUAAGCCCCGUGCUCCAACAGCCAAUUCACCACCUCGUAAUUUCCACGGUGGGCCGCGUGAAACAGCGCGCAUCUUCCAAUCUUGUCCGUGGCGUUGAUAUCGGCCCCACUUUUGUAGAACAAAUCCAACAGCUCGAUCUCACCCUGCCAAGCCGCCAAUUGAACGGCAGUCACGUAAAACACGCCCACCGGUUUCAGAAAUUUUUUAUCGAAUUUCUCGGUGAAGAUCCGCAUCGCCGUUUCCACGUCGCCAUUUUCGAUCGACGCGAUCAACCUCGACCGAUCGUCAUCGCCCGCACUCAUCUUAUUAUUGUAUUCCAGAUCCACUCUUUCCAAUGCGCGCAUCACCGGUUUAACGAGCUCCUUUUGUACCGACGCUGUUAUCGACAACGGUUAGAUAUUGCACAAUCACAGGAUGUGGUCAAUCACAAAUCUACACUCUGUAUACCAUUCUCGCUCUUAACGAAAUAUUAUAAGCCUCGUUAUAAAUAGGAGAUAAUUAAAUUUCGCACUUUCGAUUCGAUCUCGAAGAGAAUCGCGACAAACAAGCUUUGCAUCGACAAGCCUUGAUAAACUGAUAAAUUACGAAAAAAGAAGAAGCGAUCAUUUCUCAAAAUUCAGCUUAUUCACUUUCCCAUAUUUCUUUUUCCAUCGCUCCAACGCUAUCUCACCCCAAGCUCGAGUUCUCAACGCGUGUAUAACCGGUACAGCUCCGUUCGGUUGCAUUCCAAUUGCAGCAGCUACAUCCGCCCCGUUAUACGCGCGAGUAUAAUCGUCUCUGCCCGCGUUGAAUACUCAUGAACAGCCCUGUUACUUGGGUAUGCGCUUUCGAUAACGAAUCUGUCAACAAUGGAUAACGGGAUCGGUUCGAGCAUUCGAUUCAUUGGUCGAAGAAGUCGGACCUCUCGACUCCUCCUCGGGACCGUUACGGAUAUAAUAUACCUGGCUGGACGCGCACACAAUCAUCGUGAGACACUUUCGAAUCUCGCCGCAAGUUCAGGUGCACACAUCCACGCGUACAGAUGCACGGAGGACGAGCACGCGCGCACACGUACGAGAUACCAGUUUUCGAAGCCGGGGCGACCUUAACACGGGUUUCUCGCACGCGCGCACACACACGCGACGCCGGCACGUUUCACAACACACGUUCGCGCGCUCAAUCAACUAGAGAGAAUCGCGUUACCUUGCAGAACGCGGGCCCAGUACGCGCUUGACCACGCUGUCGAGAGGAGGCUGUUCGACGCACCAGUUCCACGGAGAAGAUCUCGAUAUGCCCAACUGUCCGAAGUGCGACAAACCGGUCUAUUUCGGUGAGUGGAGAGAGCAGAGUUGGCCGUCGGGAAAGUAAUAUUAAAAAAAAUUUCGAAUAAAGUUAUUUGAAUAAAUGAUGCUCGCUCGUAACGUUCAGCUCGUUAUAUACGCUUUGGUAUUGCCAAUUGUUUACGAUUAUUCUUAUUACGUCUUGAACAAUCAAUUAUCGAAGUAACUUUAUUCGUUAAGUUCAACUAUUAAAUUUUAAACGGCGGAGAGAGAUCGUUCGAAUCACUUUCGGUAUCGAUAGCAAGAUGUAUUCGAGAGAUCGCUUUGAAACGUAUUGCGAAGGAAAUAGAAAGUAGGAAAUAAAAAUUGAGAUGAUAAACGACACUUUAUUUGUUUAAUUGGUGGCGAAGAGCGAGAAUCUAGUUUUAAUUUUGCUACAAUUUUAUUAUUGGAGUAUAGGUAUAUUUGGUCUUCUUAUAUUGAAAUAUCUUAUCUAGGAUGUUUUUUUUAUUUUUUUUUCAAGAUAUAUAUUUCAUAUAUAUGUUUUUUUAUCUCUCGAACAGAGUUACGAAGUUUCAUAUAUAUAUAUUUGUAUAUAUAUAUAUAUAUAUAUAUAUAUAUAUAUAUUUGUAUUUUAAUCCGGUAAAAAUGGAUAAAGAAAAUGAUAAAAUUGAUUUCAGAUUUUAAAAGAUAUUGGAUGUCUGGAAAUGCUAGAUUAUUACAUUUUAAUUAAGGAGAUUAAUGGAAUCCUGUUAAAGUAUCACAAAGUAAAAAAUUCGUUUGUUGGAAUAUUUCUUCCCCCCUUUUUUCUUUUUUGUUUUUAUUCCGAUAUUGACAACACUGCAGCAAUUUUUUCCUAUUGGAUCUAAUAACGUUCUCUGUGUUAUUAAUUCAAAUUUUAUGAUCAUAUCGCGACGAUUGGAUCUCUCGUUCUUAGAUAUAUAUCGUUACGAGUGAAACGAAAGAAGUAACGAAUUAACGCAAAAUUAAAAAAAAAAAAAAAGAAAAGGAUUUUAGAAUAUUAUCGAGAUGCUAAAAAUAUAUUUACAUAAUGUACUAUCAUUUCAAAUUACAUUUUUAUGUUCUGUUUCCAAGCGCCCACUAAAAUUAUCGCUAUAUAUGAAUCAUAAAGUUUGAACUAAUACUUUAAAUAAAACUACGGAAAACGUUAUUAGUUACAUACAGUCGAAAUGAAAAAAAAUUGUUACGAUUACGGAGAAAAAAUUUUUAUGUAAUCACUUCACUGUCACUUUGAAAAUUAGACUCGGCCAUUUAUUAUUCCAUAUUAUAUUAUUCAUUACUGGAAAAAAAAAAAAAGAAGGAAAAAAAUUUAUUUCGAAAAAAUAUCACUUGUUUCCAUUUGUUAAUUUUAUCUUUGAUCGCAUUUAAUUACCGCAUAAAUCCAGAUAUUUUUCGAUCAGAAUUAACUUUAUAUUUUUAUCAUGUUUCACGGUUCGUGAAACGAAGUUGGAAUAUCUACGGCAUUGGAUAUGUAGUUCAUAGAUUUAUACUCGCUUAAUAUUCCGCUAUUUUGCAUACUUUUUCCGUGGGAUGAUUACGUUCACGAGGAAACAUAUUAUCGACUAAUCGAUAAUAAUAAACAUCGGCCUCGUGAAAUCUCUCCGCUCCUUCCUCUCCUUCAUCCUCGUGAAAUUCGCGCAUCCUGCUGCGGGAAAUUCGCGUCACGACUGGUUUCAUGAUGAUGAUUCGCGAAUGAAAAUGACGACACCACAUGAUGUCAUUUCGUUGCGUUCCUCGUGGUCCACCUUGACAAACAUUACGUCAACCUCGUCCUCGCAGUAGGAAUACAGAGAUCGUAACACGAGACACUAAGGAAGGAAAUUUUAUACAAUGAAACGUAUCGAGUGUACGAUCGAGCUGUAUACUUAUAUACGCGCUCUCGAGGCAGUGGAAUCAGUUUCGAAAUUGGUUUCUUCCGAUAGAUAGAUAGAUAGAAUUGAUUUUUAAUUUUCGCAGAUGAUCGUUGGAACGUUGUUGUGUUUAUGGCUCAGCUUACAGGCAAUGUCUAUUUCGAUGUUGUGUUGUACUCUUGAUAAUGUGAUAAUGUUGACGACUAUCAAGAAAAAGUAUUUUAUCGUGUUUAUUGCCGUUGGAACGUUGAGUCGAAAAUUGUGAAACGUUUUCGAAAGUUACGAUAAUGUUUCACCGUUUAUUGUACGGUAUCUCUAAAAUUACCAUGGAACGAAUUAUGCAGUUAUUAUUGUCAAGGCGAUUUUGGGUCGUGAAUAUCGUGUAAGCGUUUUGUUAUCAUCGAAACUCGCUAAACGAUUCUCAUUUUUACGAUAGAAUAUUCAACGAUUUUACGACGAUCCUUUUCCUUUGUCUUUCAGUUUUUUCUUAAAUACUGAUUAUUACGACGUUGUACGGUGAAAUUAGAGAUAUUGCGUUAAUUAGAAUUAGAUGCUAUUCAUACUUUUUCACGGCGGGUUUUAAAUUGUUUUCGAAAACUUCAAAUCAAUUUCUAAAUUACAAUAAUCAGGAUUGAGGAUUUUGUAAGAAGACAUAGAUAAAAAAGUGAAUAAAUUGCGUGCUUUUUGCAAAUCAACUCCAAAUUUGAAAAUUAUUAAAAUUUAAAACCAAGAUACCAUUCUAAACAAAUGUAUAAAGCAUUAUUUUAAUACAUUUAAAAUAUGGAAAAUCUUUGAAGGAUCAGAUAGAAGUCAAAUCAAAUGUUGAUAAAUAUUUCGAGUCCCCUAUGAUCCUCUAUCGCCAUUUCUGUUUCUAUUUCUCUUCGUCAAAUUUAAAAUUGCCUAACAUCUAAUUUUUCCCUUCUUUAUUAAACUUCUCCUAAUUUCCCUUAAAAUAUCCCCCUCGAAUCAGCCCCUCCCAAGAAGAUUCUCCAAUUCUCCCCCCAAAAAAAGAAAGAAAGAAAUACAACUCGACCCUCGAUACUCCCUCCUCUUAUCGCGGCCGUUUUUUCGCGAGGGAUCCUGGUUAGCCGUGGCGAUAAACUUAUCAUCGGCCAAUCACCGGCUCGCGCUUCCCCUCGGCCGGCCAGAUAAACGCGAGAACGGAUAGCUCGUUCCCUUCGGGCGGCCGAUGCUCCAUGCUCGCCCAGAGCCAUCGCAUUCAGGGAGGUUCGCUUUUAAUUGCGCGCUUCCUCUUUCGAGCGGACCUUUUAGACGGCCCGUUAAAGCACUAUUAGCGCUGAAAGAGGAUUUUUCUGAAUACGCGAGACCCGGUCGACGGCGAUGCCACGUAUAUGAUGGAAGGGGCUUUCAGAGAUCGGGCCAAGUAGGUGCGCGAAAAAUGGAUGCAACCGGGAGAAUUAGAGGGACGACACGUGUAUCGCGCGGAAAAAGAGGAACAGUGUAUUGUGUACGUUUUUAAGGGGUGGAGGGGAGAGAGUGGGUCAUCGACCUCUGACCGGGCCCCGUUUAGGAGGACCCCUUCGGGGAGAGACCUUCCUUCUCUUCAAUUAAUUAACUCGAGGGAUCAGUUUCGUGUUUUCCUCGAUUUUCACUCGUGAAUCAGAACUUCAGAGAUCGUUUCAGGGACGAAUUCGUGUUGGCUUUUCUCAAAGUAAAUAUAUUUAUUCAGCUACAGAUUUAAUUAUGUUUCUAUUCUAUGUAAAAAAAAAUAGCGCGAGUGUGUGAUCCACACUCGUGUCAUCGAGAAAUACGUGCAAUAAAAUCGAAGAUUAAAUUGACGACCUCGAUCUUACGUAACGGACCAUAAAACGGUAUUCAUAGAGUAUUACAUUACUUUUAAAUCGCGAGCUACGAAGCAAGUUACGUUUUUCAUUUCAACGUUUCAUCGUUGGAAAAGAAUUCCAAUCUUUGGAAUAGUCGAUCUUUGAAUUCAAUUAUAUAUAAUCACCGCGACGAGCAGUGCAGUAAGCAAAGUAACUUUUGAAGAAGGCCCCGAUCUCCUCUUCUCGCUUCGACUUCGAGUGGGUGGCUAUUCGUACUCCACAGCUUUUCGACUCCUGUUUUCUUUGUUUCCGUUUGCGGGCAUUCUACGCCACCGCAAAAGAUAGAAGACUUUUUUCAAGACUGCUCUUUGAGAGACUGGGGGGAGGGAUACGCUUUCAAAUAAAUUAGGUUCAAACGAUUUCGUGGCGUUUGGCAAAUUCGACGAAUUUCCUUUUUUUUUUUUUUACGAAUAUUUAAACAAAAGUUGGAAAAGUAGGAGGAGAGCGACCCUUUCCACGCGACUGAUUUCGAUUCAAUUGAAUGAAACUGCUCGACAAAGACAAAGAAAGAUUUCUCGAAUUCCUGUCACGAUCUCACGAUUCGUUAGUUGGUAGAGAAAGAGAGCAAAGAAGUCUUCCACGAAAUAUCAAGAUUCUACGAAAUGUGAUACGUAGAGUAAGUAUUCUUUCUGUAAUGGCGGACGAAUUGGGGAAUGAAUGCCAUCAUUGUCACUGUUUUCGAGUUUCAAAGCCUUCUUGUGUUCCAACACGACUACUGGGUAGUUUAGAUCUUUAACUUCUCCAAUAUGAUAUAAUAUAAUAUAAUGCAAAGAAGAAGAAGAAAAAAGUGUACUCAUAUCGUACCUCGAGUAUCCCUAAACAACGGAGUUCAACAAGUUCCAAAAAUUACGAUUCCACGGAUCAUCUCUCGACCAUUCCUUAAAAAAAUACACGAAAAUAACUAUUUUCUCUUUCGGAAGCGGAUGGAUAGCGAACGCCUCUCGCAUAAAGAUCCCUCGUUAAUCCAUCGCGUGCGAGAGAAGGCGGCUAAAGAGGGUUCGUAGACAGGCCUCCUCUGUAACGAGCCGGGCAAAAAGUUUCUUGACUCUAUAUAUAUAUAUAUAUACACCAUCGCGGAUCCGCGACGGCCGAGGAGGAGGCAGAAGUGAAACCGAGUCACGUCGUUGCAUCGAGAGCAACAACAAUAAAGUGUCCAGCGGCGAGGAGAGCGACGACAAGACACAAGAGUGUAAGGGGGGAUGUAUCGGGUAAUAAUAAGAAGAACAGAGAGGAAACAGAGCCUUUCCUGGCCUCUCCGUUGGAUAAGAGAGAGAGAGAGAGAGAGAAGGGGGAGAAGGAGGGAUGAUACGUCAGAUCGGCAGUUUGAAAGAGUCGGCAAGAAAAGUGAGUAGCAGGAAAGGGGGAGGAGGGAUGGGCGGGUGGAGAAUGGUCUAGCGAGGAAAUAAAGAGAAAGAAGAAAAGAGGGGGGAGAGGGAAGCAGGGAAAGACAGCGGGGGAUGAUGUUCCAAGCCUAUGCAAUCAGCAGCCGCCGAUUGUUUGGCGCCCGGGCGCAACGAUCCGUGCACACCACUGUCUGCCUUUUCGCGCUGCCACUGCACACCACCAAUGCUUGACGAUUAUGCACUCGCUUCUCCGCCGCCAGAUAAUUAGGAGUUAAUUAACUAAUGGCCCUUUAUGCGUACCCUUCUUGCUCCACGGCUCCUCUCUUUCCUUCAUCCUUGCCUUCACCAUUCUGCCACCGCGCCGCUGCCCAUCUCUCUCUCUCUCUCUUUCUUCUCCACCUUCUUCCACGACUUCCCUUCUCCCUCGCGCAAGCAACCACUCCUCCUCUUUCGCUCUCUCGCGGUCUUUUCGAACAUCCCCCUCGACCCUCCUCCUCGACCACCGGUUGGUUCCCGACGUCGACCCCUUUAGACUCGUCCCCGUGCCUCUCUCUCUCUCUCCUCGUCAUUUUCCAAUUCCCCUCGCUGGCACCAGCGUCCUUUGUGCUCCUCCUUAGACACGGAGGAACGUUUGAAUGCCAACCACCGGGCCGCCACCGGUCCGUGGCUUUUUUUUCUCUUUUUUUUGUCUUCCCCGCGAGGUUUGAUAUGUCGUAAUGGCAUGACGCAUCGCGACGCAUCCAAGGAAAAGAAGAAGGAGAUGAAGAAGAGGGGAAAAAAAGGGCCACACUCGCUCCUCUGAUUUCGCGGCCUUUUGUCGAGCCGAGACCGAAACGCUACGCGCGUGCAAUACGUAAUCCGCUAGGAAAAAAAUGCUCGUUUCGAGGAUCCGAGGAUCGUGUACGCGAAUAUGCGCGCAGAGGCGGCCUAAAAGCGAUCGCGAUUGAAAGGAAAAUCGCGCCACUCGAAACCUUUCAAACCUCCCCCCCUGAUCGAGUAACAAAACCGGCUCCCCCCUCCCACUCUCCGAUCCUUCUCGAUUAAUCAACCUUGUGCGUCCCCGUGCGAUGAUGACGCGCGACAAAAGAGGACGCUUGUCUGCGCCAGCUUCUUUCUCUCCAGGAAUCCCUGGAUCAUCGGUUAUCAUGGCGCUGGAAAUCGCUCGCAUCGGGGAAUUCGUCGACCGCGACAAUGCGGUCGAGCCGCGUGCGAUAUUUCGUAAAAAAAGAAAGAGAAAGGAAGGAAAAGGGAAGAAAAAAGGCGGGACGACGUUGGCGCGCUUUGCAAGGGGAAAAGAUGGCCCACAGGGGCGCCUCGGGUUCGCGCCUUCCGUGAAUGAGCCUCGCGUUCGAUCGCCUCCGCCGGGAAUCCGCCAUUCAAUUUUAUAAUUACGAAAUUGCUAAUGGAGCAGCGACGCUCCUCGUCCCGCUUGGGGACGCUUCUGCAUUUUCUUUCGGCGAGAGAGAACGCGCGAGCGGAACCUCGAGCGUGUGUCUUAUUGUUCUUCGAGGUGACAGUGGAUGGGAGGUUGGAUUUCGAUUAAAUAAUUUCUUCCAUUUUCUUUUUUUCUUUUUUCUCAAUUCCUCAAGCUUUCGAAUUUUUCUUUACUUCUUUAAUAAUUAGCUUUUCCCUCUAUCAAGUUUCGUUUUAGUCCACUUCGAUGUUUAUUAAAUAAUAGCAGGUAUAUCGUGCUUAUAAAAAAUUGUUUCAAAUUUGUAAGACUUGAUAGGUAGAUUAUAUCGUUCGUCGUUCGUUGAACAAUUUAAGAAUCGAAGAGUUAUUUUGCGAUUUGUUUCCUUUUAAUAUCCUCGUUAUCUGAUCUUGGAAAUAUUGGCAAUUGCUUUAUAAAAAGAAAAAAGAUUUUAGAGAAUACGUGGACGUAAAUAAAUUUAAUUAAUGAAACAUUAAAAUACGGGGCGACAGAAUUUCUUGGUUACCUAAUAAAGAAUUAACCUUUGUGGUUUCGAAAUGCGCAGUAAAGAGCAAAGUAUAGGUGCAUCGCGAUAAGCGAUAAUUCCGCGACACGUAUACUCAGUGCGAUAAUCGUUAUCCGAUCGCGAAACUUAUUAUUACGUAAUCCCUCGUUUCGUUUGCCAACGGAACACCGCCACCGCCGUUUGCACCGGUUUAUACCGAAGUCAAGAGGGUUGAUUGAACUUAUUUCAGGCUUCUUUAUCGGGAACGCAGCCGUAUAUGGCUUUAAGUGGAUUGAGGCCACUCGAAUAAGCCUGAUCGAACGUAAUAAUUUCCCCGUUUCCAUUUCACCCACUCGGUGAAUCACUCGGUUCGUAGACACGGUGACAUCGAAAGCGGACAAUCGACUUACAUCGACACGAAACGUGAAUACGUGAUUAUAAUGUUUCGCUCGAGUCCGUUCAAUGAUUUUUGUUUUUGCCUAUUUACGUUACAGCCGAAAGGAAAACAUCGUUGGGCAAGGAUUGGCAUGGAUCGUGUUUACGUUGCGAAAAAUGUAACAA
Apis cerana (Asiatic honeybee) is the source of this 12818-nucleotide long non-coding RNA. RefSeq lists it as uncharacterized. The record is from RefSeq and is a predicted model, not a curated record. Lineage: Eukaryota; Metazoa; Arthropoda; Insecta; Hymenoptera; Apidae.